AGAGUUUGAUCAUGGCUCAGGACGAACGCUGGCGGCGUGCUUAAUACAUGCAAGUCGAGCGAGGUUACUGUUUCGGAUCCCUUCGGGGUGAAGAAGCUUUAACCUAGCGGCGGACGGGUGAGUAACGCGUGGGUAACCUACCCCAAAGUCCGGGAUAACAGCGGGAAACCGUUGCUAAUACCGGAUACUCCAUUUCUGGCGCAUGUCAGGAAUGGGAAAGGGUUUACCGAUGUCGGAUGGGCUCGCGUCCCAUUAGCUGGUUGGUGAGGUAACGGCUCACCAAGGCUACGAUGGGUAGCUGGUCUGAGAGGACGAUCAGCCACACUGGAACUGAGACACGGUCCAGACUCCUACGGGAGGCAGCAGUGGGGAAUAUUGCACAAUGGGCGAAAGCCUGAUGCAGCGACGCCGCGUGGAGGAUGAAGGCCUUCGGGUCGUAAACUCCUGUCUGGGGGGAUGAACACUGACAGUACCCCCGGAGGAAGCCCCGGCUAACUACGUGCCAGCAGCCGCGGUAAU
This 519-nucleotide ribosomal RNA is filed under the name uncultured bacterium. RNAcentral's name for it is "bacterial SSU rRNA". It matches the Rfam family "Bacterial small subunit ribosomal RNA", at positions 8 to 524 of the family's 1533-position model. The record is from RNAcentral.